RNAcentral lists this long non-coding RNA (1105 nucleotides) under Heterocephalus glaber (naked mole-rat). RNAcentral describes it as "lncRNA (ENSHGLG00000033743.1)". The record is from RNAcentral. Lineage: Eukaryota; Metazoa; Chordata; Mammalia; Rodentia; Bathyergidae.
CGCUGGCCCCAAGCAGGUUCCUCUCCUGAGAAUCUGAGACUGCACUGAGCCGUGCUAGCCGGGCUCCCCAGCGCCAGCCUAGGGGGAAAUGCGCUAUUACUGCAAUUGCAGCUCAGCUCAUCAGGCUGAUUUCCUCUCUCGGCCCCUCGCCUCAGAGCCCUGGAUGCCCAGUGCAUCCCCGGAGGCUCCCCAGGCUCCUGGGACUUCCAGGGUCCCCUGGAGGCAGCAGCCGCAUUUCGAGUGACAGUCGGGCUUCUCAGGUGCACAGGCGGUUCCGUUCGAGGGAGCAGCCCUGGGGCUGUGUCCCCAGCACCCGCCUCGCACGCAGCUAUCCCCGGAGAUUCACCUGCAUCGUUUUCGCUCGAGGCUCAGCACAGGGUGGGCAAUGCCAUUUCCACAGCCGUCCGGGGCUCUGGCAAAUGUCACGGCUGUCACGCAGACAGAAUCCCCCUGGCCUGUGCGCCUCCAUCGUCCGAGGGAAAACAUUCUUUGCAUUCCUGACGGAGGGUCCUAUCUGCAGGCCUUGGACUCGGCCCGCAGGCCGUGUUCCCUGUCCAGUGGCCUAGGCCACGGCCGGCCGCUCCUUCCCUCCAGCUCCGCAGGAAGAGGGGAAGCGGGAAGGACUCUGCCUACGCCGCGUGUGGACACCCUGCCGGUCAGGACAGAGCACCAGCUGCGGCAUGUUGUGUGGAGGGGAGCUUAUCCCUUCCGGCACAUCCUGACAAGACACGUUUUAUAGGGUUUGGGCUAAAAUUUGAUAUUGGAAGUUGGGGACUCCAAUUUUAUGUCUCCAAGGAUAACAAUAGCAGCUGGGACCUUUAAGAAAUGUGUGUGUCCCCUCUACUUAAGAGUUCCAUAAUAAAAGCUAUUUAUGUCAAGCACCUUAUAAGGGAAAGAUUUAACUUGAGCAUUGAUAUAACAUAUAAUACCUUUUCUAUUUAGAUAGGAGGAAAAUCCAUCAUUAAUGAUCUGUAUUACUUCAGUUUGAACUAUCAGAUAUGCAGGGGCUUUAACAAAUUGAAAGGAAGCGUGUCCUUGUUUCAAUUUACAGAUUCAUCCAGUGACCUCUUUCCGUAUUAUUUCUGUAUAAAAAGCAAACAAUGGU